Molecule: transfer RNA, 83 nt
Filed under: Thorea hispida
Lineage: Eukaryota; Rhodophyta; Florideophyceae; Thoreales; Thoreaceae
Description: tRNA-Ser
Rfam family: tRNA
About the family: Transfer RNA (tRNA) molecules are approximately 80 nucleotides in length.
Source: RNAcentral
GGAAAGAUGGCUGAGUGGUUGAAAGCGUAACAUUGGAAAUGUUAUUUAGAUUUCUAACAAGGGUUCGAAUCCCUUUCUUUCCU